Molecule: ribosomal RNA, 505 nt
Filed under: uncultured Gemmatimonadota bacterium
Lineage: Bacteria; Pseudomonadati; Gemmatimonadota
Description: bacterial SSU rRNA
Rfam family: Bacterial small subunit ribosomal RNA
Source: RNAcentral
AGAGUUUGAUCCUGGCUCAGGACGAACGCUGGCGGCGUGCUUAACACAUGCAAGUCAAGGGGGCCCAGCAAUGGGCAACCGGCGAACGGGUGCGUAACACGUGAGCAACCUACCGAACUGUGGGGGAUAGCCGGCCUAACGGCCGAGUAAUACCGCAUACGCUCUCAGUGAGGCAUUUCAUUGAGAGGAAACCUACGGGACAGAUCGAGGGGCUCGCGGCCUAUCAGCUAGUUGGCGAGGUAACGGCUCACCAAGGCAACGACGGGUAGCUGGUCUGAGAGGAUGGCCAGCCACAUUGGGACUGAGAUACGGCCCAGACUCCUACGGGAGGCAGCAGUGGGGAAUCUUGCGCAAUGGCCUAACGGCUGACGCAGCGACGCCGCGUGUGGGAUGAAGCUCUUCGGAGUGUAAACCACUGUUGCCCGGGACGAACAGCUCGAUUAGUCGAGCCUGACGGUACCGGGGUGAGGAAGCACCGGCUAACUCCGUGCCAGCAGCCGCGGUA